RNAcentral lists this ribosomal RNA (728 nucleotides) under Vogesella alkaliphila. Its description in RNAcentral is "bacterial SSU rRNA". It matches the Rfam family "Bacterial small subunit ribosomal RNA", at positions 57 to 779 of the family's 1533-position model. Lineage: Bacteria; Pseudomonadati; Pseudomonadota; Betaproteobacteria; Neisseriales; Chromobacteriaceae. The record is from RNAcentral.
GCAAGUCGAACGGUAACAGGGAGCUUGCUCCGCUGACGAGUGGCGAACGGGUGAGUAAUGCGUCGGAACGUGCCGAGUAGUGGGGGAUAACGCAUCGAAAGGUGUGCUAAUACCGCAUACGUACUGAGGUAGAAAGUGGGGGACCUUCGGGCCUCACGCUAUUCGAGCGGCCGACGUCUGAUUAGCUAGUUGGUGAGGUAAAGGCUCACCAAGGCGACGAUCAGUAGCGGGUCUGAGAGGAUGAUCCGCCACACUGGGACUGAGACACGGCCCAGACUCCUACGGGAGGCAGCAGUGGGGAAUUUUGGACAAUGGGCGCAAGCCUGAUCCAGCCAUGCCGCGUGUCUGAAGAAGGCCUUCGGGUUGUAAAGGACUUUUGUCCGGGAGCAAAUGCUGGUGGCUAACAUCCACCGGAGCUGAGAGUACCGGAAGAAUAAGCACCGGCUAACUACGUGCCAGCAGCCGCGGUAAUACGUAGGGUGCAAGCGUUAAUCGGAAUUACUGGGCGUAAAGCGUGCGCAGGCGGUUUUGUAAGCCAGAUGUGAAAGCCCCGGGCUCAACCUGGGAACUGCGUUUGGAACUACAAGACUAGAGUGUGUCAGAGGGGGGUGGAAUUCCGCGUGUAGCAGUGAAAUGCGUAGAGAUGCGGAGGAACACCGAUGGCGAAGGCAGCCCCCUGGGAUAACACUGACGCUCAUGCACGAAAGCGUGGGGAGCAAAACAGGAUU